GGGAUUUUGAAAAUUGGAAAAGUAGGAAACAAUGAUAAUUUGACUUACAUUUUUUAAACAAUCGAAUCUUUGCUUUGUGAGAUGAAAAACAUCACGGAAUUGGGUAAGGAUCAUAUGAACUAGAACAUUCCGAUUAAGUUGGCCAUUUUCUAUGUUUUUAAGUUGAACUUCCAUUUCUUUUCGCAAGAAAGGCUUGGUCAAACUCCACUCUAAACCAAUUUCAUCAUAGCCUUUUGCCAAAGCAACUCCUAAAGAGCUUGGUACAAAUUCAGUUACACCUUGGCCCCUUUUUUUUCGUUUUAUGACAUAUUCUCUCUCCUGAACUUUUUCGAUGUGCUCUGCCAUAGUAGCAUCUGUCCCGAUUCCAUUGGCAUCCAUCAAGGCAAUUAACUCCGGUUCAGUGAUAUAGGAAGGGGAGGACGUUGAACUGUCCAUCAUGUCGAGAAUGUGGGGUUGGAAUUCCUCGUGAAGUCUAUACUCUGGUAAUUGAUCCGAACUUUCCCAUUUCUCAUAUGGAUAAACCUCUAAAUAAUUUUUCUCUGUCACUAGCAAUCCCUUUUUAGAAAAAAGCUCUUCUUCCAUUUUAACCUGCACCAACGUUUCGGCUCCUUUGGCAUUGUCAGAACAACAAGCUAAAAAUCUUCUUGUAAUUAGCUCAUAUACUUUCCAAUGAUCUUGGGAAGGAAGCGCUGACCGGUGAACCAUUUGAACGGGAUGAAUAGGUGGAUGAGCGCGAUCAUUGUGUUUACCUUUUCGGGGCGGUCGAUAAUCUCCAGCCAAAAGCCUAACAUUAGUUAUUACGGAAGCCACUAUAAGAAAAAUUAUAUUUACCCUUCUGCAUAAGAGUCCCAUUCUUGUGCACCUGUUAGUUUUUGGAUAAUCGCAUGCAAAUUCAUUGAAGAGUCAAAUUGGUCGGUUUCAGUACGUGGGUAAGAAACAAACCCAUUAGUAUAUAAGUUUUCGGCGAGCUGAUGAAAAUGAUGUUAAAGUUGCAAAUUCACUUAUAAUCAAAUCGUACCUCUAAAGUUUUCUUAGCAGAAAUUCUUAGAUGUUUUGGCCCCAGUUUUGUAAGUUCUACAGUUGAUAAUGGCAGAGGUUUAUACUUGGUUUUUGGUUUUUGAGUUAUGUUAACGACCUUAGCAGUUUUGCAUUCUAAACAGUUUUCCAAGAUGAUCAUUGUAGUUAAUCUGUCAAAAACUUUGGCCCUUUCCCAAUUGAACUGAAUAGUCUUACCCUGUCUUUUAUCAACAAAUCGAAGGUGCCAGUAGGUUUCAGGCACAAAGUCUUCUACUCGCUGCCACCGAUCAACUACAAAGCCUAAUGUAGGGAAUUGGCAGGGACCAUAACUUAUUAUUUUAUUCUGAAGAAUAUCGAAUGAUUUUUGUAAUUGAAUAGUUUGUAGCCGAGUGAAUAUUGCACCUAAACGAAAAUCAAGUUCAAUUCUAGCAUCCACAGCAUCUGCAGCAUUUUUUGAAACAUCUCUUGGACGUUUCGCGGCACUGAUAAUAUGUCUGAAAAUUAGUUAGCAUUUAUCUUGAAGGGUUUUUUCUGUAAUAAAUAAAUAUCUGCUUUUUAAAACGCUAAGAUGUUUAUAACUUACGACCGUUCCAAAUUAUUGAAGUCUGCUCGGAUAACCUGAAUAGAUGGAUUGCUGGCUCUAGCUACAUUGGAGAUUUCCACCCCAAUGUGUUCACCCUCACGAUCACAAUCGGUCCAAAUAUAAAGGUACUGGGCAUUUCUAGCUUCUUUUUUAAUAUUGUCUGCUAGUACUUCUGCAUUCUUUGAUACUGAGGUGAUGAUUUGAGCAUCGAAUAAAACGUCUUGAGGGACAGAGCUCCAACUAGAAUAUUCAGAAGGAAAAGAAGCUUCUGUUAAGUGACCGGAUACAGAAGUCAUUGUAACAUCAGAAGAUCCAACAUUGCCUCCAAAAUUAAAUGAGAAGUCGUAAUUUUUUACAUACUUACUUCGUGUAUCUCUCUUAAGAGAUUAGUAAAUUUCAGAAAAGAUUAAAUUUUUUAACAAACCCUUCUCACGUGUCCACCCCCUAGAAUGCUUGCUACCGAUUUGGCAAUCGAGUUUUUUUCAGCAACACAUAGGACGCGCAUUUCUUUUAAGAGAUGACAUUUAUUACUUGGAUAUUGCACACCUUCUAAUUAUAUCUCCCUUUUUUAAAAAUGACUGCAGUGUAAAAUUCGCGUGUAAGGUGUUAAGGUCGAGAUGGCUUUAUUGUUUAUGCUAACAAAUGUUGGUAUAAUGAAAGGUAGUAAAUCGAGGACCAGAAAGUUCAUUAAAAAAAAUCAAAC
RNAcentral lists this long non-coding RNA (2303 nucleotides) under Schizosaccharomyces pombe (fission yeast). Its description in RNAcentral is "non-coding RNA, possible alternative UTR". Lineage: Eukaryota; Fungi; Ascomycota; Schizosaccharomycetes; Schizosaccharomycetales; Schizosaccharomycetaceae. The record is from RNAcentral.